RNAcentral lists this ribosomal RNA (254 nucleotides) under uncultured bacterium. Its description in RNAcentral is "partial 16S ribosomal RNA". It matches the Rfam family "Bacterial small subunit ribosomal RNA", at positions 524 to 777 of the family's 1533-position model. The record is from RNAcentral.
AACGUAGGAGGCGAGCGUUAUCCGGAUUUACUGGGCGUAAAGCGUGCGCAGGCGGCUUCGUGAGUCGGAUGUGAAAGCUCCUGGCUUAACUGGGAGAGGCCAUUCGAUACUGCGAGGCUUGAGGUUGGGAGAGGGGUGCGGAAUUCCCGGUGUAGUGGUGGAAUGCGUAGAGAUCGGGAGGAACACCUGUGGCGAAGGCGACUACCUGGCCUGUUCUUGACGCUGAGGCGCGAAAGCUAGGGGAGCAAACGGGG